This 447-nucleotide long non-coding RNA is filed under the name Pongo abelii (Sumatran orangutan). Its description in RNAcentral is "lincRNA". The record is from RNAcentral. Lineage: Eukaryota; Metazoa; Chordata; Mammalia; Primates; Hominidae.
UACAACCCAAGGAUGGAAGGCCCCUGUCACAAAGCCUACCUAGAUGGAUAGAGGACCCAAGUGAAACAGUUUCUGGCAUCACUACCACCACUGAUUAAACAAGAAUAAGAGAACAUUUUAUCAUCAUCUGCUUUAUUCACAUAAAUGAAGUUGUGAUGAAUAAAUCUGCUUUUAUGCAGACACAAGGAAUUAAGUGGCUUCAUCAUUGCCCUUCUACCUCAAAGAGAAUUUAUUCCAAAAUGCUAAGAUAAAUGGAAGACUCUUGAACUUGUGAACUGAUGUGAAAUGCAGAAUCUCUUUUGAGUCUUUGCUGUUUUGAAGAUUGAAAAAUAUUGUUCAGCAUGGGUGACCACCAAAAAGUAAUCUUAAGCCAUCUAGAUGUCACAAUUGAAACAAACUGGGGAGUUGGUUGCUAUUGUAAAAUAAAAUAUACUGUUUUGAAAACUU